UACCGCGGUUAUACGAGAAGCCCAAGUUGACAAGCUCCGGCGUAAAGCGUGGUUAAGGGAUAAUAAACACUAAAGCCGAACGCUUACUAAGCUGUUAUACGCUUACGAAAGUAAGAAGCACACCCACGAAGGUGGCUUUAUCCCACCUGAACCCACGAAAGCCAAGGCA
Molecule: ribosomal RNA, 169 nt
Filed under: Epinephelus malabaricus (Malabar grouper)
Lineage: Eukaryota; Metazoa; Chordata; Actinopteri; Perciformes; Serranidae
Description: partial small subunit ribosomal RNA
Source: RNAcentral